Molecule: ribosomal RNA, 439 nt
Filed under: uncultured bacterium
Lineage: Bacteria
Description: partial 16S ribosomal RNA
Rfam family: Bacterial small subunit ribosomal RNA
Source: RNAcentral
CUACGGGCUGCAGCAGUGGGGAAUAUUGCACAAUGGGCGCAAGCCUGAUGCAGCAACGCCGCGUGAACGAUGAAGGUCUUCGGAUCGUAAAGUUCUUUUCUUAGGGAAGAAAAAUGACGGUACCUAAGGAAUAAGCACCGGCUAAAUACGUGCCAGCAGCCGCGGUAAUACGUAUGGUGCAAGCGUUAUCCGGAAUCACUGGGCGUAAAGGGAGCGUAGGCGGUUUUGCAAGUCAGAAGUGAAAGGCUACGGCUCAACCGUGGUAAGCUUUUGAAACUGCAAGACUAGAGUGCAGGAGAGGCAAGUGGAAUUCCUAGUGUAGAGGUGAAAUUCGUAGAUAUUAGGAGGAACACCAGUGGCGAAGGCGACUUCCUGGACUGUAACUGACGCUGAGGCUCGAAAGCGUGGGGAGCGAACAGGAUUAGAUACCCGGGUAGUC